CACGAAGUUAGCCGGUGCUUAUUCUUUGGGUACCGUCAUCCCCGCCGGGUAUUAGCCAGCAGGAUUUCUUCCCCAACAAAAGGGCUUUACAACCCGAAGGCCUUCUUCACCCACGCGGCAUGGCUGGAUCAGGCUUUCGCCCAUUGUCCAAUAUUCCCCACUGCUGCCUCCCGUAGGAGUCUGGGCCGUGUCUCAGUCCCAGUGUGGCUGAUCAUCCUCUCAGACCAGCUACCGAUCGUCGCCUUGGUGGGCCUUUACCCCGCCAACUAGCUAAUCGGACAUCGGCUCAUUCCAUCGCGUGAGGCCUUGCGGUCCCCCACUUUCACCCUUAGGUCGUAUGCGGUAUUAGCGUAAGUUUCCCUACGUUAUCCCCCACGACGGAGUAGAUUCCGAUGUGUUCCUCACCCGUCCGCCACUCGCCGGCAUAGGAAGCAAGCUUCCUACCCGCUGCCGUUCGACUUGCAUGUGUUAGGCCUGCCGCCAGCGUUCACUCUGAGCCAGGAUCAAACUCU
RNAcentral lists this ribosomal RNA (512 nucleotides) under uncultured Pseudoxanthomonas sp. RNAcentral describes it as "partial 16S ribosomal RNA". The record is from RNAcentral. Lineage: Bacteria; Pseudomonadati; Pseudomonadota; Gammaproteobacteria; Lysobacterales; Lysobacteraceae.